This 372-nucleotide ribosomal RNA is filed under the name uncultured organism. RNAcentral describes it as "bacterial SSU rRNA". It matches the Rfam family "Bacterial small subunit ribosomal RNA", at positions 526 to 896 of the family's 1533-position model. The record is from RNAcentral.
CGGGGGGGCGAAGCGUUGUUCGGAAUUACUGGGCGUAAAGGGCUCGUAGGUGGCCAACUAAGUCGGACGUGAAAUCCCUCGGCUUAACCGGGGAACUGCGUCCGAUACUGGUUGGCUUGAGUUUGGGAGAGGGAUGCGGAAUUCCAGGUGUAGCGGUGAAAUGCGUAGAUAUCUGGAGGAACACCGGUGGCGAAGGCGGCAUCCUGGACCAAUACUGACGCUGAGGAGCGAAAGCCAGGGGAGCAAACGGGAUUAGAUACCCCGGUAGUCCUGGCCCUAAACGAUGAAUGCUUGGUGUGGCGGGUAUCGAUCCCUGCCGUGCCGAAGCUAACGCAUUAAGCAUUCCGCCUGGGGAGUACGGUCGCAAGGCUG